This 253-nucleotide ribosomal RNA is filed under the name uncultured bacterium. RNAcentral describes it as "partial 16S ribosomal RNA". It matches the Rfam family "Bacterial small subunit ribosomal RNA", at positions 524 to 776 of the family's 1533-position model. The record is from RNAcentral.
UACGUAGGGGGCAAGCGUUGUCCGGAUUUAUUGGGCGUAAAGAGCGUGUAGGCGGUUUGGUAGGUCCGCUGUGAAAUCUCGAGGCUCAACCUCGAGACGCCGGUGGAAACCAUCAGGCUAGAGUCCGGAAGAGGAGAGUGGAAUUCCUGGUGUAGCGGUGAAAUGCGCAGAUAUCAGGAAGAACACCAGUGGCUAAGGCGGCUCGCUAGUACGGUACUGACGCUGAGACGCGAAAGCGUGGGGAGCGAACAGG